This 251-nucleotide ribosomal RNA is filed under the name uncultured prokaryote. RNAcentral's name for it is "partial 16S rRNA". It matches the Rfam family "Bacterial small subunit ribosomal RNA", at positions 525 to 775 of the family's 1533-position model. The record is from RNAcentral.
ACGGAGGGUGCAAGCGUUAUCCGGAUUUAUUGGGUUUAAAGGGUGCGUAGGCGGUAAAUUAAGUCAGUGGUGAAAAUCUGCAGCUCAACUGUAGACGUGCCAUUGAAACUGCUUUACUUGAGUAACCAGGAGGUAGGCGGAAUGUGUAGUGUAGCGGUGAAAUGCUUAGAUAUUACACAGAACACCGAUUGCGAAGGCAGCUUACUAUCGGUUCACUGACGCUGAUGCACGAAAGCGUGGGGAUCAAACAG